RNAcentral lists this long non-coding RNA (215 nucleotides) under Amborella trichopoda. RNAcentral's name for it is "long non-coding RNA (ATRI_LNC004657)". The record is from RNAcentral. Lineage: Eukaryota; Viridiplantae; Streptophyta; Magnoliopsida; Amborellales; Amborellaceae.
UUCAAGGACAUUACCUGCAUAUUCAGGGGAUUUCCCAGCGGGUUCAGGUGGUUUCCCAGUGGGCUUAGGGGUUUUCUAGCAAGACAGUACGGGUUUAGAGAUUUUAGAGUGGAUUCCAGAGCAGGUUUUAGAGAUUUCAGAGGGGGUUUUUGAGAGCCGAUUUCAGAAACAGAUUGAUUUCAGAUUGGGUGGCAAAGCGGCGGGUUCUAGGUGAU